UCUCCCGUCGUCUAGUUGGUUUAUGACACGGUGCUUAUAGAGGUCCUGCCUGGUGGCCCCUGUGCACGGCCCGCUGAAAGACGCGGAGAGAAACGCCGUUGUCCGGGGUUCGAGUCCCCGCGGGAGAA
RNAcentral lists this transfer RNA (128 nucleotides) under Malassezia equina. RNAcentral's name for it is "tRNA-Ile". The record is from RNAcentral. Lineage: Eukaryota; Fungi; Basidiomycota; Malasseziomycetes; Malasseziales; Malasseziaceae.